RNAcentral lists this ribosomal RNA (503 nucleotides) under uncultured bacterium. RNAcentral describes it as "partial 16S ribosomal RNA". It matches the Rfam family "Bacterial small subunit ribosomal RNA", at positions 30 to 523 of the family's 1533-position model. The record is from RNAcentral.
AUUGAACGCUGGCGGCAGGCUUAACACAUGCAAGUCGAGCGGGGUGAUGGUGCUUGCACUAUCACUUAGCGGCGGACGGGUGAGUAAUGCUUAGGAAUCUGCCUAUUAGUGGGGGACAACAUCUCGAAAGGGAUGCUAAUACCGCAUACGUCCUACGGGAGAAAGCAGGGGAUCACUUGUGACCUUGCGCUAAUAGAUGAGCCUAAGUCGGAUUAGCUAGUUGGUGGGGUAAAGGCCUACCAAGGCGAACAUCUGUAGCGGGUCUGAGAGGAUGAUAGGCAACACUGGGACUGGAACACGGCGGAGACUCCAACGGUAGGCAGCAGUGGGUAAUAUUGGACGAUGGUGGGGACCCUGGACGAGCCAUGCCGCGUGUGUGAAGACGGCCUGAUGGUUGUAAAGCACUUUAAGCGAGGAGGAGGCUCUUUUGGUUAAUACCCAAGAUGAGUGGACGUUACUCGCAGAAUACGCACCUGCGAACUCUGUGCCAGCCGACGCCGUAA